Molecule: non-coding RNA, 30 nt
Filed under: Mus musculus (house mouse)
Lineage: Eukaryota; Metazoa; Chordata; Mammalia; Rodentia; Muridae
Source: RNAcentral
UAGAUAGAUAAAUCUACAAAAAGGGAAAGA